AUGUACUGCAUGCGCCAGAGACCCGGGCAGGGGCUGGAGUGGCUCGCAUGGAUCAACACUGGUGGCAGCGCCUGGGACUCACCAUCGGCCAAGGGCCGGGUCAUGAUGUCCCGGGACAACGGGCAGAGCUCGAGACCCGGGCAGGUGCUGGAGUUCAUUGCAGCUAUCAGCACCACUGGCAGCACCAGCUACGCGGAUUCGGUCAAGGGGCUCUGGGGGACCGUGACCCUGCUGAAGUGCGGGGGGGACCUCCAGCCCCCCGGGGGUUCCCUGCGCCUCCUCUGCCGAGGGUCCGGGUUCAUUUUCGGGGAUUAUGGAAUGUACUGGAUCCGCCAGAGACCCGGGCAGGCUUUGGAAUACGUCGCAGGAAUCCACUACAAUAGUGCCAACACCAUCUACGCGCCAUCGGUCAAGGGCCGGGUCACGAUCUCCAGGGACAAGGGGCAGAGCUCGGUGACGCUGACCAUGAACAACCUCAAGGACGAGGAUUCCGCCGUUUAUUUCUGCGGCUCUGGGCGGCCGUGA
Non-coding RNA from Melozone crissalis (California towhee), 525 nucleotides. The record is from the annotation of a RefSeq genome assembly. Lineage: Eukaryota; Metazoa; Chordata; Aves; Passeriformes; Passerellidae.